RNAcentral lists this ribosomal RNA (206 nucleotides) under Escherichia coli. RNAcentral describes it as "partial 16S ribosomal RNA". It matches the Rfam family "Bacterial small subunit ribosomal RNA", at positions 1 to 214 of the family's 1533-position model. The record is from RNAcentral. RNAcentral also lists the same sequence under 2 other names. Lineage: Bacteria; Pseudomonadati; Pseudomonadota; Gammaproteobacteria; Enterobacterales; Enterobacteriaceae.
AAAUUGAAGAGUUUGAUCAUGGCUCAGAUUGAACGCUGGCGGCAGGCCUAACACAUGCAAGUCGAACGGUAACAGGAAACAGCUUGCUGUUUCGCUGACGAGUGGCGGACGGGUGAGUAAUGUCUGGGAAACUGCCUGAUGGAGGGGGAUAACUACUGGAAACGGUAGCUAAUACCGCAUAACGUCGCAAGACCAAAGAGGGGGAC